UCACGCCCAUUCACAGAAGAUGAAAUCUGGCAUGCGGUUAAGGCGCUCCCCCGCGGCAAGGCCCCGGGACCUGAUGGGUUCACUGCCGAAUUCAUCGUGGCAUGCUGGGACAUGGUUAAAGCCGACAUUUGCCCCGUGUUCGACAAGUUCUACUCCAUGAAUGGGCGCAAUUUGCAACACCUCAAUGAGGCCCUCAUCACACUCCUCCCGAAGAAGUCGGACGCCUCCUUCCUCUCUGAUUACUGCCCCAUCAGCUUGAUACACCUUGUGGCCAAGCUCAUCGCCAAAGUUCUUUCGCUCCGCCUUGCCCCGCACCUUGGCCAGCUCGUCUCCACCAAUCAGAGCGCGUUCGUCGCGGGCCGGUGCGUUCAUGACAAUUUCAUGUUGGUCCAGCAGACCGCCCGCCAGCUGCACAACCUCCGAGUGCCUCGUGUCCUCAAGCUCGACAUAUCGCGCGCCUUUAACACGGUCUCCUAG
RNAcentral lists this ribosomal RNA (477 nucleotides) under Triticum aestivum (bread wheat). RNAcentral describes it as "partial small subunit ribosomal RNA". Lineage: Eukaryota; Viridiplantae; Streptophyta; Magnoliopsida; Poales; Poaceae. The record is from RNAcentral.